This 267-nucleotide ribosomal RNA is filed under the name uncultured Atopobium sp. RNAcentral describes it as "partial 16S ribosomal RNA". It matches the Rfam family "Bacterial small subunit ribosomal RNA", at positions 89 to 355 of the family's 1533-position model. Lineage: Bacteria; Bacillati; Actinomycetota; Coriobacteriia; Coriobacteriales; Atopobiaceae. The record is from RNAcentral.
UAUAAAGUGGCGAACGGCUGAGUAACACGUGGGCAACCUGCCCUUUGCACUGGGAUAGCCUCGGGAAACCGAGGUUAAUACCGGAUACUCCAUAUUUGUCGCAUGGCGAAUAUGGGAAAGCUCCGGCGGCAAAGGAUGGGCCCGCGGCCUGUUAGCUAGUUGGUGGGGAAGUGGCCUACCAAGGCAAUGAUGGGUAGCCGGGUUGAGAGACCGACCGGCCAGAUUGGGACUGAGACACGGCCCAGACUCCUACGGGAGGCAGCAGCC